Molecule: ribosomal RNA, 3645 nt
Filed under: Triticum aestivum (bread wheat)
Lineage: Eukaryota; Viridiplantae; Streptophyta; Magnoliopsida; Poales; Poaceae
Description: partial small subunit ribosomal RNA
Source: RNAcentral
AUGGCGGAGGGGGUGCUUGCUUCCAGCAUCGUGAAGGCGGUGCUAGCGAAGUUCGGGUCCUCGGUUUGGGGAGAGCUCGCCCUCCUGAGGAGCUUCAGGACUGACCUGAAGGCCAUGGAGGACGAGUUCGCCACCAUCCGGAGCGUGCUCGCGGACGCUGAGGUGCGCGGCGGCAGCGGCGACAGCGCCGUCCGCGACUGGCUGCGCAGGCUCAAGAACCUCGCCCAUGACAUCGACGACUUCCUCGACGCCUGCCACACCGACCUGCGCGCUGGCCGCCGCCGCCGGAGACGGGGCAACCCGGCGUGCGGCUCCACGGCCACCUGCAUCGUCAGCUCCGUCGUCAUGGCGCACAGGCUGAGGUCCCUGAGGCGCAAGCUGGACGCCGUCGCCGCGGGGAGGGACAGGCUGCGGUUGAAUCCCAACGUUUCUCCGCCGGCGCACCCCGUUGCUCCCCCGAAGCGUGAGACCAUCUCAAAGGUCGACGAGACCAAGACGGUGGGGAGGGCCGCCGACAAAGAGAGGCUCAUGAAGCUGGUCCUUGACCUGGCGAGCGAGGAGGACGUGUCCGUGAUCCCCAUCGUCGGCUUCGGCGGCCUCGGCAAGACGACGCUGGCGCAGCUGGUGUUCAACGACCGGAGGGCCAACGACGAGGUGUUCGACCUCCGGAUCUGGGUCUCCAUGUCCGUGGAUUUCAGCCUCAGAAGGCUCAUCCAGCCGAUUGCGAGCGCGACCAAGCUGAAGCGCGAUCUGACCAGCCUGGAGGCCAUCGCAAACUUCUUGUCCGAGACGUUCACGGGGAAGAAGUACCUGCUGGUUCUCGAUGAUGUGUGGAGCGAGAGCCAGGAGGAGUGGGAGCGGCUGAAGCUUCUCCUCAAGGAUGGCAAGCGAGGCAGCAAGAUCAUGGUGACCACACGGAGCCGCAAGGUCGCCAUGAUGGUGCGCACCGUGCCGCCAUUCGUUCUCGAGGGCCUCUCUGAUGAUGAUUGUUGGGAGCUGUUCAAGGGAAAGGCUUUUGAGGAAGGGGAGGAGCAUAUGCAUCCCAAGCUGGUCAAGUUAGGAAAGGGGAUCGUCCAGAAAUGCGGCGGCGUGCCGUUGGCCGCCAAGGCUCUUGGGAGCAUGCUGCGGUUCAAGAGGAAUGAGGAGUCAUGGAUUGCUGUCAAGGACAGUGAGAUAUGGCAGCUGGACAAGGAAGACACAAUUUUGCCGUCUCUCAAGCUUACCUAUGACCAAAUGCCACCUGGUCUGAAGCAGUGCUUCGCGUAUUGUGCAUCGUUUCCUAGAAACUAUGAGAUUGACAGGGACAAGCUUAUUCAGCGAUGGAUUGCUCUUGGUUUCAUUGAACCCACAAAGUAUGGCUGCCAAUCGGUUUUCGAUCAAGCCAACGACUAUUUCGAGCACUUGCUGUGGAUGUCUUUCCUUCAAGAAGUAGUGGAGCACGAUUUAUCAAAGAAAGAACUAGAGGAAGAUCACAAUGUCAAGUAUAAGAUUCACGACUUGGUGCAUGACCUUGCUCAGUCUGUUGCCGGGGAUGAAGUCCAGAUCAUCAACUUUAAGAAUGUCAAUGGGCGCGCCGAAGCAUGCUGCCGCUAUGCGUCAUUGGCUGAUGACAUGGGGGUCUCUAAAUCUGAAGUUCUCCGGAGCAUGCUUCGUAAAGUCCGCGCAUUGCAUUCCUGGGGUUAUGCUCUUGAUGUUCAGUUGUUGCUUCACUCCAGGUGCCUGAGGGUACUAGAUUUGCGAGGCAGCCAAAUUACAGAGCUUCCCAAGUCAGUUGGCAGAUUAAAACACUUGAGUUUCCUCUGUACAUUACCCAGCUCCAUCGGUGAACUCCAAAGUUUGCAAGACUUGAAUUUUAAAGGGUGCGUCAAUCUUAAGAUUCUGCCUGACACUAUGUGCAGACUGCAAAAUUUGCAUUUCUUGAACCUCUCACAGUGUGGAAUUCUCCGAGCGCUGCCCAAAAAUAUUGGGAAUCUCUCAAAUUUGUUGCAUCUGAAUUUAUCACAAUGCAGUGAUCUUGAGGCAAUCCCUGACUCGAUAGGCUGCAUUACAAGGCUGCAUACUCUGGAUAUGUCUUACUGUAGCAGUUUGUCAGAAUUACCUCGAUCCGUUGGUGGCCUCCUGGAGCUUCAAACUCUCAUUCUAUCACAUCAUGCACGGAGUUUGGCAUUGCCCAUAGCAACCAGUCACCUACCAAACUUGCAGAUUUUGGAUCUCUCAUUGAAUAUUGGUCUGGAGGAAUUGCCUGAAUCAAUUGGUAAUCUUCAUAACUUGAAGGAGCUUAUUUUGUUCCAGUGCUGGAAUCUUCAUAAGCUACCUGAGUCUAUAGCAAACCUUAUGAUGCUGGAGAGGUUAAGCCUUGUUGGGUGUGCAGAUCUAGCCUCGCUACCUGACGGCAUGACAACCAUCACUAAUCUGAAGCACCUACAAAAUGACCAGUGCCCAUCUUUGGAGAGACUACCUGAUGGAUUUGGGCAAUGGACUAAGCUUGAAACAUUAUCCUUGCUCAUUAUAGGUGACACAUGCAGCAGUAUUGCGGAGCUAAAAGAUCUUAUUCUUCUGAGUGGCAGUCUUAGAAUUGAAUGCCGCUCACACAAGAAGGAUUUGACAAACGAUGCCAGGAGAGCAAACUUGAGGAAUAAGAGGAAACUAAGCAACUUGACUGUGUCAUGGACCAGUUCAUGCUCUUCUGAUGAGCUGAAGAACGUCGAAACAUUUCUUGAAGUUCUCUUGCCACCUGAAAACCUUGAGGUCCUUGAAAUAAAUGGCUACAUGGGCACUAAAUUUCCCAGCUGGAUGAUGGAGAGCAUGGAAUCCUGGCUUCCAAAUAUUACCUUCCUAAGUUUAGGCAACAUCCCUAACUGUAUAUGCCUCCCACCUCUUGGUCAUAUUCCCAACCUCCAUUCUCUUGAGCUCCGCUGCAUUAGUGGUGUCCGUAGCAUUGGACCUGAAAUACUUGCCAAGGGACAGAAGAACACAUUGUACCAGUCACUCAAGGAACUCCAUUUUGAAGACAUGCCUGAUCUGGAGAUCUGGCCAACCUCAUUGGCAGGGGAUAGUGAAGAAAGUCAACAGCAAGUAUUCAUGUUUCCAGUUCUUAAAACUGUCACUGCAAGUGGAUGUCCAAAGAUGAGACCAAGACCAUGCCUCCCAGAUGCUAUAGCAGAUUUGUCACUAUCCAACAGCAGUGAGAUGUUAUCAGUUGGCAGGGUGUUCGGGCCAUCAUCUUCCAAACCGGCGUCACUUCUUAGGAGACUGUGGAUUAGAAAGUGCCAUGCUUCGUCGUGUGAUUGGAACUUACUGCAGCACAGGCCAAAACUUGAGGAUCUGACCAUUGAGUACUGCGAAGGGCUACGUGUUUUGCCAGAGGCCAUCAGGCACCUUAGCAUGGUCCGGAAGCUGAAGAUUGAUAAUUGCACUGAUUUGGAAGUCCUUCCAGAAUGGCUAGGUGAUCUCGUAGCACUUGAGCAUCUGGAGAUAAGCUGCUGCGGGAAGUUGGUCUCACUGCCAGAAGGUUUGCGAUCCUUAACUGCACUGGAGGAGUUGAUUGUCAGUGAUUGUGGCUCUGCACUGACUGAGAACUGCAGAAAAGGGACAGGCAAGGAUUGGUUCAAGAUCUGUCAUAUCCCAAGCAUCCUCAUCUCGUGA